UUGAACCUUCUUUGUUAUUACCUAAAAACUCCUAUUUAUAACAGCGUACUUAAAAUGAGAUUUUUAUACUUUUUCUGAGAAGCCUGGUAUGUCAUUUACGAACUGACUGUUGUCUGAUGUUUGGCGGCGUCAAUGGAAAGAGACGGCGCCGUUGUUUAUUUCGUGGCACUUAUCGUCGAUAUGUAAUUGAUAUUAGUUAACAAAUUUCAUGAACACGAGUACUUGAACGUCGAGGAAAACGCUUUCGCUAAAAGUAGUAAAUAUACCUUGGAAACAUCACAGUUGAAACAUGCGACAGUAAUUAUUACAAUACUCACUAGACGACGCUGUAAGUCUGCUCAGGCAAUUUUGGCACGCAGCCAAAAGUGCUUCUAUCAUUGGUCGUGAGUGCAGAGUGCAAGUGAGUUUUCCAAUGUGGAGGAAAGCUGCUCAGAUUUCUGUUUCUAAGUUCAAAGGAAAAUUGGACAGUAUUUGGCUGUUAACCAAACACGAGAAGCGUCCUGCCAAAGCCAAAUGGUGAUAUAUGAAGUGACAGAGAAGAUGUGAAGACACUCUACAGUUUUGGAGCGCGCGCUCAUGGGUUGAUGGAAGAACAUGACCUUGGUCCGCUUACUGUGCAUAAGCUCUGUAGAAUUAAAUGCCGUUGCUGUGUGCGAGGAAAAGCCUGAAUUAAAAGAUCCUAGGAUAAGUAUGAGAAAAUCAGUGCUAUUUUAAUUUUUGUGAACCUGACUGUCGGUGGUGAAUUAAGCAGAAAUAUUGCAAUAUUAACCGUUUUGAAAAACCCCAUGAACAGUCGGCUGUUUUCUGUGUGGGCAGGUCAGGAAGAAGGGUUAUUAAUUAUGACUGUUUGGACACACUCAAAUCAUCGUCAUGAACGUGUGUAACGUUCUGCACAGCAAUGACACGGAACAGUGUUCCGAACUUCUCUCAACUGUUCUCGACGAGGUGGUAAUGUAAAGGAAGUAGUGACGUCACCAAGAUGCAGCAUGUACUUGAAAUAUUUUGCCAAAGUGAAGAUUAUGUCUACAACAACAUUGAUCUUAUAAUAAUUAUUAUAGUCACUUGCGAAACAAGGGUUAUCCCUUGAAAUAAAUCUUUGACUUUUUUCAUCAUCACUUUGUUCAGCGUCAUCAUCAAAUUCGUCUUCGAACAAAAAAGACCUGAAGGUAAUGCAUUUUCCGCCAUAUUGAAAAUGCUAACUUCCUGUUCUGGUUAACUUGAUUAUUCUUCUGGAAAAGAAUGACCACAUCGUUUUCUGGGCAGGUGAUUCGAGAGAAUCCAGGUCAACUAGACACUUAAUAAAAUGACGAAGUAGGACAUUUAGACACCGCUUGUUUGUUAUAAAAUAAAACAAUAAUUCUUUCCAUUAUAUGACCUGUAUAUA
This is a long non-coding RNA of Limulus polyphemus (Atlantic horseshoe crab), 1384 nucleotides long. RefSeq lists it as uncharacterized. The record is from RefSeq and is a predicted model, not a curated record. The transcript is spliced from 3 exons. NCBI's taxonomy places the organism in Eukaryota, Metazoa, Arthropoda, Merostomata, Xiphosura, Limulidae.